RNAcentral lists this ribosomal RNA (459 nucleotides) under uncultured bacterium. Its description in RNAcentral is "partial 16S ribosomal RNA". It matches the Rfam family "Bacterial small subunit ribosomal RNA", at positions 338 to 795 of the family's 1533-position model. The record is from RNAcentral.
CCUAUGGGUGGCAGCAGUGAGGAAUAUUGGUCAAUGGGCGCGAGCCUGAACCAGCCAAGUAGCGUGAAGGAUGACUGCCCUAUGGGUUGUAAACUUCUUUUAUAAAGGAACAAAGUGAGGCACGUGUGCCUUUUUGUAUGUAUUUUAUGAAUAAGGAUCGGCUAACUCCGUGCCAGCAGCCGCGGUAAUACGGAGGAUGCGAGCGUUAUCCGGAUUUAUUGGGUUUAAAGGGUGCGCAGGCGGAUUAUUAAGUCAGCGGUAAAAUCGUGGGGCUCAACCCCAUCCAGCCGUUGAAACUGGGGAUCUAGAGUGAGCGAGAGGUAUGCGGAAUGCGUGGUGUAGCGGUGAAAUGCAUAGAUAUCACGCAGAACCCCGAUUGCGAAGGCAGCAUACCGGUGCACAACUGACGCUCAGGCACGAAAGCGUGGGUAUCGAACAGGAUUAGAUACCCUUGUAGUC